RNAcentral lists this ribosomal RNA (547 nucleotides) under uncultured bacterium. RNAcentral's name for it is "bacterial SSU rRNA". It matches the Rfam family "Bacterial small subunit ribosomal RNA", at positions 355 to 895 of the family's 1533-position model. The record is from RNAcentral.
UGGGGAAUUUUGGACAAUGGGCGCAAGCCUGAUCCAGCCACGCCGCGUGUCUGAAGAAGGCCUUCGGGUUGUAAAGGACUUUUGUCAGGGAAGAAAAGGCUGUCGCUAAUACCGACAGCUGAUGACGGUACCUGAAGAAUAAGCACCGGCUAACUACGUGCCAGCAGCCGCGGUAAUACGUAGGGUGCGAGCGUUAAUCGGAAUUACUGGGCGUAAAGCGAGCGCAGACGGUUACUUAAGCAGGAUGUGAAAUCCCCGGGCUCAACCUGGGAACUGCGUUCUGAACUGGGUGACUAGAGUGUGUCAGAGGGAGGUAGAAUUCCACGUGUAGCAGUGAAAUGCGUAGAGAUGUGGAGGAAUACCGAUGGCGAAGGCAGCCUCCUGGGAUAACACUGACGUUCAUGCUCGAAAGCGUGGGUAGCAAACAGGAUUGGAUACCCUGGUAGUCCACGCCCUAAACGAUGUCAAUUAGCUGUUGGGCAACUUGAUUGCUUAGUAGCGUAGCUACGCGUGAAAUUGACCGCCUGGGGAGUACGGUCGCAAGAUU